UGUGCCUAAUACAUGCAAGUCGAACGCGUUGGCCCAAUUGAUUGAUGGUGCUUGCACCUGAUUGAUUUUGGUCGCCAACGAGUGGCGGACGGGUGAGUAACACGUAGGUAACCUGCCCAGAAGCGGGGGACAACAUUUGGAAACAGAUGCUAAUACCGCAUAACAACGUUGUUCGCAUGAACAACGCUUAAAAGAUGGCUUCUCGCUAUCACUUCUGGAUGGACCUGCGGUGCAUUAGCUUGUUGGUGGGGUAAUGGCCUACCAAGGCGAUGAUGCAUAGCCGAGUUGAGAGACUGAUCGGCCACAAUGGGACUGAGACACGGCCCAUACUCCUACGGGAGGCAGCAGUAGGGAAUCUUCCACAAUGGGCGCAAGCCUGAUGGAGCAACACCGCGUGAGUGAAGAAGGGUUUCGGCUCGUAAAGCUCUGUUGUUAAAGAAGAACACGUAUGAGAGUAACUGUUCAUACGU
RNAcentral lists this ribosomal RNA (470 nucleotides) under Limosilactobacillus ingluviei. RNAcentral's name for it is "bacterial SSU rRNA". It matches the Rfam family "Bacterial small subunit ribosomal RNA", at positions 43 to 475 of the family's 1533-position model. The record is from RNAcentral. Lineage: Bacteria; Bacillati; Bacillota; Bacilli; Lactobacillales; Lactobacillaceae.